UGCAGCCGCGGUAAUUCCAGCUCCAAUAGCGUAUAUUAAAGUUGUUGCAGUUAAAAAGCUCGUAGUUGAAUUUCGGGAUUAGUGCGCCGGUCGUGCCUUCGGUAUGUACUGGUGUUACUGGUUCCUACCUUCUGACGAACCGUCAUGUCAUUAAUUUGGUGUUGCGGGGAGACUGGACUGUUACUUUGAAAAAAUUAGAGUGUUUAAAGCAGGCUAACGCUUGAAUACAUUAGCAUGGAAUAAUGAAAUAGGACGUUCGAUCUUAUUUUGUUGGUUUCUAAGAUUGACGUAAUGAUUAAUAGGGAUAGUUGGGGGCAUUAGUAUUCAAUUGUCAGAGGUGAAAUUCUUGGAUUUAU
This 356-nucleotide ribosomal RNA is filed under the name uncultured Glomeraceae. RNAcentral's name for it is "SSU rRNA". It matches the Rfam family "Eukaryotic small subunit ribosomal RNA", at positions 569 to 929 of the family's 1831-position model. Lineage: Eukaryota; Fungi; Glomeromycota; Glomeromycetes; Glomerales; Glomeraceae. The record is from RNAcentral.